RNAcentral lists this ribosomal RNA (483 nucleotides) under uncultured bacterium. RNAcentral describes it as "partial 16S ribosomal RNA". It matches the Rfam family "Bacterial small subunit ribosomal RNA", at positions 28 to 523 of the family's 1533-position model. The record is from RNAcentral.
GACGAACGCUGGCGGCGUGCUUAACACAUGCAAGUCGAACGAUGAAGCUGGAGCUUGCUCCAGCGGAUUAGUGGCGAACGGGUGAGUAACACGUGAGCAAUCUGCCCUUGACUCUGGGAUAACUGCGGGAAACUGUAGCUAAUACCGGAUACGUGAUUUGAAGGCAUCUUCAGAUCUGGAAAGAAUUUCGGUCAAGGAUGAGCUCGCGGCCUUUCAGCUAGUUGGUGAGGUAAUGGCUCACCAAGGCGACGACGGGUAGCGGGCCUGAGAGGGUGACCGGCCACACUGGAACUGAGACACGGUCCAGACUCCUACGGGAGGCAGCAGUGGGGAAUAUUGCACAAUGGGCGAAAGCCUGAUGCAGCAACGCCGCGUGAGGGAUGAAGGCCUUCGGGUUGUAAACCUCUUUUAGUAGGGAAGAAGCGAAAGUGACGGUACCUACAGAAAAAGCACCGGCUAACUACGUGCCAGCAGCCGCCGUAA